This is a long non-coding RNA of Leptidea sinapis, 796 nucleotides long. RefSeq lists it as uncharacterized. The transcript has 2 exons. The record is from RefSeq and is a predicted model, not a curated record. Lineage: Eukaryota; Metazoa; Arthropoda; Insecta; Lepidoptera; Pieridae.
AUUUACGUAUGUUUAAGUAAGUAUAUUGUAUUAAAUAAAUCGUUGUUUUGUACUUAUAGUACAGACUAUGCUUAGUUAAUGGCAAGAUAAUUUGUGUUAGUGUCAAUAUUAUUAUUAUACUUAUUUACACAAAUAAAAUUUGAAAACAAUAUUUUAUGAACGAUGCGGGACUCGAUCCGACCACUUUUUUGAAGACUUUAAAAACAUAACAAAUUGUUGAUACUUAUCGAGUUUGUUUAACUAUAGCUCGAUCAAAAAUUGAAUCUGUUAUUUAAUCAUUAUUUUUCAAUCAGGUGAGGCCAGAUUCAGCUUUUUUAGGGGAAUAACUUUUUUAACAAUAUCUAUUUAGAUAAGAUAGCUAAUUAAGAUAUCUUGCUUAUUAUUUUAUAUAAAUACGCUGAUUACAUGGUACUAGUAUCAGAUAUACACCUGUUUAAGCGGAUUCAAAACUUUCACCAAGUUCAAAAUGAAAUCUCUAUCACUUAUAUUUGUAUUAGCGGCAUUCAUUUGCUUUACACUAUCAUCACCUAUUGAUAAAGCAGAACCUGAGAGCCCCGUAGAGAUCCUCCUGAGCCCAGUACAGGUUGUGAUCGAUCCAACUCAGACUCUGUUCUGUACAAACUCAUGGUGUCACAAUAUUUGUGUACAACUUGGAACAAGGACCGGCUACUGUAAUGCUCAAAAUCAAUGCCAGUGCUCCUUUUAAUGGCUGAUAAAAUUAUUAGAUUUAACUAAAUUAAGUACACAAUUAAAUAUUACAAACCACAAUAAAUAAAUAAAUACAUUUUUAUAUGAA